UACGUAGGGUGCGAGCGUUAAUCGGAAUUACUGGGCGUAAAGCGUGCGUAGGUGGUUUGUUAAGUCUGAUGUGAAAGCCCUGGGCUCAACCUGGGAAUUGCAUUGGAUACUGGCAGGCUAGAGUGCGGUAGAGGGUAGUGGAAUUCCCGGUGUAGCAGUGAAAUGCGUAGAGAUCGGGAGGAACAUCUGUGGCGAAGGCGACUACCUGGACCAGCACUGACACUGAGGCACGAAAGCGUGGGGAGCAAACAGG
This 253-nucleotide ribosomal RNA is filed under the name uncultured bacterium. RNAcentral's name for it is "partial 16S ribosomal RNA". It matches the Rfam family "Bacterial small subunit ribosomal RNA", at positions 524 to 776 of the family's 1533-position model. The record is from RNAcentral.